GUCACAUAUUUUUUGAUGUGUUUAAGUACUUUAUGUGUUCAGUAAAUGUCAUAAUGCCAUUAAUUCUCUUUGCAGAGACAUCCAAUUUUAUCCCGUUAUCAAGGUGUAGUGCAACCAGUGGAGUAUUUGUCUGAACACUGAAGGUCUGGAGUGGAUUUGUCUGAAAAGAUGGGUAUUGAAAAUUCAAAACUAGUCACUUGGAAGUUAGGGUUCAGUGAAUGCUGGCACCUCAAGUCUCUGAGCAAAGUAAAAACAAAUUUUAAGGUUUCCAAAUCUGUAGUUUUCUUUUUAAUGUGUAGGUAAGUGUCAAGUAUGGUUUGUAAGUGAAAAGCAUGCUAUUUUUUUGUUUUUUUUUUUUUUUUAAUAUUGUUAAUGUGAACAUUUUUUGUCAUCGUAGUACUUUUUCACAUGACUCAACCCAGAAGGUUGCUAAGCAACCUUCUGCAGCCAGGGAAAAGCACAGGCAGGCUUAACAGAAGAUUCAUGUGGGUGACCCUAAUACUAAGAAAAAUUAUCUGAGCAUCUAAAAGCUUCCAUUGUUUUUUAAAGCCUUUAUGACCAAAUACCAGUAAUUUACUCUUACUUACUCAAGAGCCAUUUAUGAAACUGCUGCAGUCACCCAACUUUUUCACCUUCUGGGAAAGUAAAUGAGUAAAUAAUACUUUGUAGCUUUAUUUCUCACUACUGUAUUCUAGAAGUAUUUCUUUUAUGGGUUGUUAAGGUAUUAUCAAAAGCUUUUGUGCUUUCAGUAAUGGUUAAGUGAGGAGGUGGCUCUUGCAGCGAUGACUGAAAAAAUGUGAGUGCAACAGGGGACAGCCAGAGCUGACCUGAGGACAUCCAGCACUGAGGACACAGUUCUGCUGGGCUAUCUGUGGACCUGGCCCUUCUUGGUGUCAUCAGAACUGCCUGGACAAGGAGUGGGUAUCCACAGGCAGCACAGCUCUGACCAGAUCUCAGAGAACAAGAUAACCUGGCACAAGUCCUCUUCUGUUGACAAACAAUUUAUCUGUUCCAGUACUGGCAUCAAUGCAAUGGGAUUUGUUACAGGACAAGGAAUGUUCAAACAGUUAAGAGGGCACAUGCUGUUCACAGGACCAGAACAGAAACAUUUGUACUGCCAAAGAAGGUAUUUUGUAUAAAACUGCAUGGAUCCACAGUGACACCCAGCGGCCACUGUCCUUGCCAUAGUGAUGCGUUUACUAAAGUAACAUUUCCAUGUCCUUUUGUUUAGUAUGCAUUUUGUAUGAAAGCAGUAACUCUUAAGAAAGUCUGGUUUAAUAGGAUUAAGCCAAACAUUGUUUGUUUGUUUGUUUAAAUUUACUUUAUAUAAGUAUUUUAAUAUUAUGAGUUGUGUGCAGUGUGUGAUGGUGGCAAAUACUGCUUUUAUAUAGGUUGAAGACAUGGUUUCAUUAGCCAAUGCUAAAAGUGAUGUACACAGCCAAUAUGAAUGGAAAAUGAAGACAAUUAAAAGUCAGAAUGGCAUCUUGGAGUUAUACUGUGAAAACCUUUAAGAAGAGCUUAUGUGUAACACAAUUAAUAUUAUGUGAACUUUAAUUAAUAUAAUAGUAACGUUCCAUUAGCUAAAAAUGUGUACACACAUUACUUCUAGUAAAUUAUCAAUAUGGUUGCACUUCUUCUUCAGCCUUGGUCUUAAGCCAGUGAUUCAACACAAAUGGAUGGCAAAAUCUUCAAGGCACAGGCUUGUCUCUAAGUUUGUGAACUAAAUUACUGAAAUAAAAUGAAAAGAAAAAUGAACUAUUAUUUAUAU
Molecule: long non-coding RNA, 1768 nt
Filed under: Anas platyrhynchos platyrhynchos (common mallard)
Lineage: Eukaryota; Metazoa; Chordata; Aves; Anseriformes; Anatidae
Description: lncRNA (ENSAPLG00000028565.1)
Source: RNAcentral